AUUUAAAUAGCUUAUAAUAAUUAGAGUAUAAUAUUGAAGAUAUUAAGGAAAUAAAUUUAUUUUUAAAUA
Molecule: transfer RNA, 69 nt
Filed under: Dahlica ochrostigma
Lineage: Eukaryota; Metazoa; Arthropoda; Insecta; Lepidoptera; Psychidae
Description: tRNA-Phe
Source: RNAcentral